CAAUCUGCGCCUCUGAUUACUCCAACCAUUUCCUCGAUCUCUCAUUUCCCAGAUACUGAUGAAGUCCUUUCCCAACGAAGUCUUGUUUCUUCCCAUCUGUCCAGUCCAUACCACAGCCCAGUUCUCUGAAUCUGUCUCUCCUCUUUCGCUUCGGGUUUGGGUUUGGCCUCGAACUCCCUCCACUUUAAGGUUUUCAUCCCUUAAAGUACCGAUCAACAAACGCAUUUACUCGCUGCAACUCAAAAGAACACCUCACACACAAGUUAGUAGACAAUUAACC
RNAcentral lists this long non-coding RNA (280 nucleotides) under Brassica rapa (field mustard). RNAcentral describes it as "long non-coding RNA (BRAP_LNC008164)". The record is from RNAcentral. Lineage: Eukaryota; Viridiplantae; Streptophyta; Magnoliopsida; Brassicales; Brassicaceae.